ACUCAGUAGCUGAGUGGAUAACGCGAUGGCUUUCGAAGCGAAAGUUGCUGAGUUCCAAUCCCGGCGUGAUCA
RNAcentral lists this transfer RNA (72 nucleotides) under Schistosoma mansoni. The record is from RNAcentral. Lineage: Eukaryota; Metazoa; Platyhelminthes; Trematoda; Strigeidida; Schistosomatidae.